Molecule: ribosomal RNA, 252 nt
Filed under: uncultured bacterium
Lineage: Bacteria
Description: partial 16S ribosomal RNA
Rfam family: Bacterial small subunit ribosomal RNA
Source: RNAcentral
UACAGAGGUCUCAAGCGUUGUUCGGAUUCAUUGGGCGUAAAGGGUGCGUAGGCGGCGCGGUAAGUCGGGUGUGAAAUCUCGGGGCUUAACUCCGAAACUGCAUUCGAUACUACCGUGCUUGAGGACUGGAGAGGAGACUGGAAUUUACGGUGUAGCGGUGAAAUGCGUAGAUAUCAGGAGGAACACCUAUUGCGAAGGCAGCUCGCUGGGACGUAACUGACGCUGAGACGACGAACGUGGGGAGCAAACAGG